Molecule: ribosomal RNA, 924 nt
Filed under: Lyprocorrhe anceps
Lineage: Eukaryota; Metazoa; Arthropoda; Insecta; Coleoptera; Staphylinidae
Description: SSU rRNA
Rfam family: Eukaryotic small subunit ribosomal RNA
Source: RNAcentral
AAUUACCCACUCCCAGCACGGGGAGGUAGUGACGAAAAAUAACGAUACGGGACUCAUCCGAGGCCCCGUAAUCGGAAUGAGUACACUUUAAAACUUUUCCCGAGGAUCAAUUGGAGGGUAAGUCUGGUGCCAGCAGCCGCGGUAAUUCCAGCUCCAAUAGCGUAUAUUAAAGUUGUUGCGGUUAAAAAGCUCGUAGUCGAAUCUGUGUCCCGCGCCGCUGGUUCAUCGCUCGCGGUGUUCAACUGGCGUGUCUCGCGGGACGUCCUGCCGGUGGGCGCUCGUAUCGUUUCGGCGGUGCGUGGCCCAACUCGUAGCCGUCUCGCGCGGUUGCGAAUCCCAUCGCGGUGCUCUUUAUUGAGUGUCGAGGUGGGCCGGCACGUUUACUUUGAACAAAUUAGAGUGCUUAAAGCAGGCCAAUUUUGCCUGAAUAUUGUGUGCAUGGAAUAAUGGAAUAGGACCUCGGUUCUAUUUUGUUGGUUUUAAGAACCCCGAGGUAAUGAUUAAUAGGAACGGAUGGGGGCAUUCGUAUUGCGACGUUAGAGGUGAAAUUCUUGGAUCGUCGCAAGACGGACAGAAGCGAAAGCAUUUGCCAAAAACGUUUUCAUUGAUCAAGAACGAAAGUUAGAGGUUCGAAGGCGAUCAGAUACCGCCCUAGUUCUAACCAUAAACGAUGCCAGCUAGCGAUCCGCCGACGUUCCUCCGAUGACUCGGCGGGCAGCUUCCGGGAAACCAAAGCUUAUGGGUUCCGGGGGAAGUAUGGUUGCAAAGCUGAAACUUAAAGGAAUUGACGGAAGGGCACCACCAGGAGUGGAGCCUGCGGCUUAAUUUGACUCAACACGGGACACCUCACCAGGCCCGGACACCGGAAGGAUUGACAGAUUGAGAGCUCUUUCUUGAUUCGGUGGGUGGUGGUGCAUGGCCGUU